RNAcentral lists this long non-coding RNA (1288 nucleotides) under Mus pahari (shrew mouse). RNAcentral describes it as "lncRNA (MGP_PahariEiJ_G0005185.1)". The record is from RNAcentral. Lineage: Eukaryota; Metazoa; Chordata; Mammalia; Rodentia; Muridae.
GCGCACACUCACAGAGAGGCACAGAAGCAGUUAACUGUUGCGGUUUUGUUUCGGGGUCGCAUAAGAAGAACACGUUUGGGAAUUUUUUCCUUUGUAUAAUUAGCCACACAUUUGAUCUUCGGGGUCAUUUUGAGAACGGAGCAGGAACAGCGGAAGGAGGGGCACGAGACCUGCCAUCCAUUUUCCAAGGGAAGAAAGACUGAAAGCGAUUUGCCCAAAGCUGAAGUUAGAAGCGAGCUUCCAGGCAGGAAUCCCAAGUACAGAAAUCCAAGAUCCCAUAACUUCAGCGGGGUGAAGUAGGGGGUCAUCUCAUCAGUCCCCAUAAGCCCACUCUUUCACCCCGAGACCACUGAAAGAUCCAGUAACCUCUGUACACUCAGAAUCCCAGGGCAACUCCACACCGCACUCCCUGAUGAAACUAGGUUUCAACUCACAGUCUCUGCACUUUUUGCGCGCCACUUUUUGCUGCACUCCCGAGUCCAUCUUGUUACCAUCUGUUGCCACAGCAACCGCAGAGUGUGGCUCACACUCUAGUAAGAGGAACGAUGAUUGGAGGAGGCGGGCGUCCCUAGCAACCACGAGACCUUCGUUAGCUUCUUUCCGCCCUGUGGGCUCCAUCAACACAGACUGCAUUAUUUCCAUCCCUGCACUUAAAAUAGUAACUGGUCUGAGACGAACAUCGCAUAAAUACGUGUUGGCUGCAUGAAGUCCCACACCGCAGUACCCGGAAGCAGGGAGGACUGUGGGGAUGUGAGAGAGAGAGAGUUAAGACAGAAAAGCCUCUGUCUUCAGGGACUUUGGAUGCCUGUGGAAGAAAUGAAUUACAAACUGUACUGGCAAACCAACUAUGUGCAGAACUGGGUGGUUUAGUGUCUAAGUGUUAUGGGAAGUAAUUCUGCAACCCCCCCAAAGGUUCCUUUAUUCUUUCUAUUGCAUCUCAAUCCAUAGUCUUACAUAUAAAAUACCUACUGUAUAUCAACCACUGAUGAGGAGCCAUCAAGACAGACAUCAACUCUGUGGAACUUAUGCCCUGUGAACAGUGUGCCCAGCCCAGCUGACACUGGUGGCCAUCUAUGGCUUCCUAUGGCCACUGAGUUCUUGACUUGUGUCUGCCCCUAACUAGAAGGUGGGCUAGAUGUGAACUUGGGUCAUAGAGACUUGGAGGAAAAGAAGAGUGAAAAAAAAUACCUCUUUGCUAAUUUAAAAAUAUUGAUUUCACAUUGAAAUGAUGAGGUUUUAGAUAUGCUGGAUUGGACAUUCUAUUAUUAAAACCAGUAAUCAAUUUUCU